UCCGCCGUGGCGUAAUCGGAAACGCAGCGGGUUUUGGUCCCGAAGAUUCUAGGUUCGAAUCCUAGCGGCGGAG
Molecule: transfer RNA, 73 nt
Filed under: Actinomadura kijaniata
Lineage: Bacteria; Bacillati; Actinomycetota; Actinomycetes; Streptosporangiales; Thermomonosporaceae
Description: tRNA-Gln
Rfam family: tRNA
About the family: Transfer RNA (tRNA) molecules are approximately 80 nucleotides in length. Their secondary structure includes four short double-helical elements and three loops (D, anti-codon, and T loops).
Source: RNAcentral